GCCCCCGUAGACCAACCGGCAGAGUCGGCGAGCUCAAACCUCGCGCAGCGCGGGUUCGAAUCCCGCCGGGGACA
Molecule: transfer RNA, 74 nt
Filed under: Myxococcales bacterium
Lineage: Bacteria; Pseudomonadati; Myxococcota; Myxococcia; Myxococcales
Description: tRNA-Leu
Rfam family: tRNA
About the family: Transfer RNA (tRNA) molecules are approximately 80 nucleotides in length. Their secondary structure includes four short double-helical elements and three loops (D, anti-codon, and T loops).
Source: RNAcentral